CAGAGUCUGACUCGGGGCUCGAUCCCAUGAACUGUGAGAUCGUGACCUGGAACUGGAUCAAGAGUCGGACGCUUAACCGACUGAGCCACCCAGGGGCCCAGGGGAAAGCAUUUUCAAAGGAUAUCCACCCACAGUCUCUUUGAAGUCUGGAAUCCAGGUUAUCACCACCCCCCCACCCCAGGUAAAACUGUUAUUUGUCACAGGAAUAUCGCUACUAUAUACCUACUUCCGUCGCGUUGGUACUGAUGGCUCACUUUGAUUGAAUGGCUGCUCCCCCACAGACUCUAGUACACGGUCUGGACCUGCACGGACUCAUCCGAUUCCAAUGGUAUCCUUCAGUGCAGGUUGAUAGCAUUUUCCCCGCUUUACGGUCGAGGAUGUAGACGCUUUAGGGAGGCUAUGAUUUCCCGGGUGAAACGCGUAUAUGUAAAUUGCCUCUACGUCUGUCUGACUAUAUUGCUGUCAGCCUUAGGAGGCAGGUUGGCAUGGCCUGAAAUCCUUGGGGGAUUCGGAAAUCCUGGAGUGAGGAUGGAGACCACCGCUCUCGCCCGGCAGGUGCCACACAGGGAAAACAGCGGGCGGGCCUCCUUUACACAGGACUAGCAUUCUCCUGGGACUCUGCCUGCGCCCCUGAAAGGACGCCCUUGAAGCUCCCACAGAUGUCUCAAGUUCACACUUCAAAAUGCAAAUUCCCGGACCCCCGACACACUCCACACCUGCUCCUCUGACAUCCUUCUCGCUGCUCAGUCCAAACACCCAGCUGCUUCCCUUAACUCCUCUUGGACCCUCCACAUCCACCCUCUCUGGGCUGAAGCCCACGGAAGUCCUGAGCGCUUGGUGGCCGUGGCAUGAAGGACCCAGCUCCCAGAGGAGUCUAGAAUUUGUCUUGCUGCCGUGGAUCCAGUUAUGCACAUGUAACUGCUGAUGUUUUCUGGCCCCUCCUAUCCCUCCUCCUGAUAAAUUCCCUGGGUUUGUACCAUGGGCUGCCUGCCUCUGCUUCCCUGCUGGACAUUCAGUCCUCCCGAGAGUGAGAUUCUCCAAAGCUUAACUUGCCUGGCAAGUCCUCGACUCCCACCCCCUCACCCGCAGCCCGAUUUCUUGUGCACCUGCUGCUAAGUAAGAUGCUUCUGUGAGAGGUCAGAUGGCUUGAAGUCUGGCCCCGAUUUCCUCCUGACUCUGAGUUCUACAUCCUGCCUACACUCUUGGUUUAAAUCAGCAUUACUUCCUGCCGCAUCGGAUCGUCCCUGUCACUGAUACAUCGUAAGCCAAACUCUCUUUUGCUCAGGGGGGCAAUUGCACAGAAAUCGAAAUAGAGCGAGGGAGCAAGCUGUGCAGACGUUCCCGGCGAAGAGAGGUAAAUGGUUUAGGCAAAGAAAAGAAUGGCUAAUGUUAGAAUUUGAAGAGGGGUAGAUACUGGGGCGGACGGCAUCCUUUCACAUUACAGUCAACAGCACCAACGUUUUCGUUUGUUUUGUUUGGUGCUUUUGUUUUUGCUUUUUUUAUACAGGGAAUCAUUUUAUACUUUUUGCACACCCAAAAAAGGUAGAUAUCAAUAGAAAGAGCACGAGGCCUGCCUUCGGAAGCCUUCGACUUUAUACCUUCCUACUUCCCCUUACUAUCUGUGUGGCCUCGGGUGUGUCACUGCACUUGAGACACCGAAUUCUACCUGUAGCAACGGGGAGAUGAUAACAAAUGAAACUGCUGUGUGUCAGGCACACCCCGCCGAAUGCUUACGCCCCCCGUCUUCCAAGCAACCCUGAAGGAUGGAACUACUAUCCCCAUGUCAGAGGUGGGCGGGUCGUUUUCCUCUGCGUCGGCCAGGCCCAGUGAAAGUGCUUUGUGAAUGGUAAGCCACCUGCCAGAGGUCAGUCACACGCGAGGCCAGGUUGGUUCCCCGCUUCCCAGACCAGCGCGUGCGCUCCUGAAAUCACGACGCUGCCAGAGAGAUCCGAAUGCGCUUUCUUUGGGCGUGAAUGUUACCGUUUGACAAGUAUUUAAAAAACAGUUUUUAAGGAGGCAGAUCUUCUGGAGUACAAUGCAAAUUGUAUAUGUACAAGAUGAAAACAAAACUUUGGAGAGACAGCGGGGCCUUUGUCUCCUUAUACAGUAUAUAAGAUGUCUCAGAAUGUGAUUGCUAUUAUGUAAGAGGCUUCUAUGAAGAUGAAAUUCUUAAGGAGAAGGGGGAAACAAACAAAAAACAAG
Felis catus (domestic cat) is the source of this 2202-nucleotide long non-coding RNA. RefSeq lists it as uncharacterized. The transcript is spliced from 3 exons. The record is from RefSeq and is a predicted model, not a curated record. Lineage: Eukaryota; Metazoa; Chordata; Mammalia; Carnivora; Felidae.